GAUGAACGCUAGCGGGAGGCUUAAUACAUGCAAGUCGAGGGGUAAGGUUCUCUUCGGAGAAUACACGACCGGCGAACGGGUGAGUAACGCGUACACAACUUACCUUAUACUGGAGGAUAGCCCCGGGAAACUGGGAUUAAUACUCCAUGGUUCUUUAAAAUGGCAUCAUUUAAAAGAUAAAGUUCCGGCGGUAUAAGAUGGGUGUGCGUCCUAUUAGAUUGUUGGUGAGGUAAAGGCUCACCAAGUCGACGAUAGGUAGCGGGCGUGAGAGCGCGAUCCGCCACACGGGCACUGAGACACGGGCCCGACUUCUACGGAAGGCAGCAGUAAGGAAUAUUGGUCAAUGGAGGAAACUCUGAACCAGCCAUCCCGCGUGUAGGAUGACGGCCCUCUGGGUUGUAAACUACUUUUCUGAAGGAAGAAACCCUUGGAUUUAUCCGAGGCUGACGGUACUUCAGGAAUAAGCACCGGCUAACUCCG
This 480-nucleotide ribosomal RNA is filed under the name uncultured Saprospiraceae bacterium. Its description in RNAcentral is "bacterial SSU rRNA". It matches the Rfam family "Bacterial small subunit ribosomal RNA", at positions 28 to 505 of the family's 1533-position model. Lineage: Bacteria; Pseudomonadati; Bacteroidota; Saprospiria; Saprospirales; Saprospiraceae. The record is from RNAcentral.